This 414-nucleotide ribosomal RNA is filed under the name uncultured bacterium. RNAcentral describes it as "bacterial SSU rRNA". It matches the Rfam family "Bacterial small subunit ribosomal RNA", at positions 917 to 1333 of the family's 1533-position model. The record is from RNAcentral.
GGGCCCGCACAAGCGGUGGAGUAUGUGGUUUAAUUCGAUGCAACGCGAAGAACCUUACCAGGGCUUGACAUCCUGCGAACCUCUGGGAAACCGGAGGGUGCCUUCGGGAACGCAGUGACAGGUGGUGCAUGGCUGUCGUCAGCUCGUGUCGUGAGAUGUUGGGUUAAGUCCCGCAACGAGCGCAACCCACGUCUUUAGUUGCCAGCAUUUAGUUGGGCACUCUAGAGAGACUGCCGGUGAUAAACCGGAGGAAGGUGUGGAUGACGUCAAGUCAUCAUGCCCCUUACAUCCUGGGCUACACACGUACUACAAUGCUACGGACAAAGGGCAGCAAGUUCGCGAGGACAAGCAAAUCCCAUAAACCGUGGCUCAGUUCAGAUCGUAGGCUGCAACUCGCCUACGUGAAGCGGAAUC